GACGAACGCUGGCGGCGUGCUUAACACAUGCAAGUCGAACGGAAAGGCCUCUUUCGGGGGGUACUCGAGUGGCGAACGGGUGAGUAACACGUGAGUAACCUGCCCUUGACUUUGGGAUAACUUCAGGAAACUGGGGCUAAUACCGGAUAGGAGCUCCUGCUGCAUGGUGGGGGUUGGAAAGUUUCGGCGGUUGGGGAUGGACUCGCGGCUUAUCAGCUUGUUGGUGGGGUAGUGGCUUACCAAGGCUUUGACGGGUAGCCGGCCUGAGAGGGUGACCGGCCACAUUGGGACUGAGAAACGGCCCAGACUCCUACGGGAGGCAGCAGUGGGGAAUAUUGCACAAUGGGUGGAAGCCUGAUGCAGCAACGCCGUGUGCGGGAUGACGGCCUUCGGGUUGUAAACCGCUUUCGCUCAUGACGAAGCUUUGUGUGACGGUAGUGGGUAAAGAAGCACCGGCUAACUACGUG
Molecule: ribosomal RNA, 467 nt
Filed under: uncultured bacterium
Lineage: Bacteria
Description: partial 16S ribosomal RNA
Rfam family: Bacterial small subunit ribosomal RNA
Source: RNAcentral